This is a small nucleolar RNA of Cercocebus atys (sooty mangabey), 144 nucleotides long. The record is from Ensembl. NCBI's taxonomy places the organism in Eukaryota, Metazoa, Chordata, Mammalia, Primates, Cercopithecidae.
CUAUCAAAAGUUACUUUUUGUGGGGUGGAAGUUUUUAAAAUAACCUUUACCUACUUGGGCUGUUUUGGAAAAUAAAGAAAAGACCACACAUAACAGUGGGCUAUAUCCCUUAGUAUAGUUCACCACUAUUUUGUGGCUUAUAUU